AUUGAACGCUGGCGGCAGGCCUAACACAUGCAAGUCGAACGAGUGGCGGACGGGUGAGUAAUGUCUGGGAAACUGCCUGAUGGAGGGGGAUAACUACUGGAAACGGUAGCUAAUACCGCAUACAAUCAGAUGUGCCCAGAUGGGAUCAGCUUGUUGGGGGGGUAACGGCUCACCAAGGCGACGAUCCCUAGAUGGUCUGAGAGGAUGACCUGCCACACUGGAACUGAGACACGGUCCAGACUCCUACGGGAGGCAGCGUUGGGGAUUAUUGCACAAUGGUCGCAAGCCUGAUGCAGCCAUGCCGCGUGUAUGAUGAAGGCUUUCGGGUUGUAAAGUACUUUCAGCGUGGAGGCGUUACCCGCAGAAGAAGCACCGGCUAACUCCGUGCCAGCAGCCGCGGUAAUUC
RNAcentral lists this ribosomal RNA (406 nucleotides) under uncultured bacterium. Its description in RNAcentral is "partial 16S ribosomal RNA". It matches the Rfam family "Bacterial small subunit ribosomal RNA", at positions 30 to 526 of the family's 1533-position model. The record is from RNAcentral.